GCUGUUUUUUUGGUCAUUUAUGAAAAAUGGGAAAAGUCGCUAAAAAUGGACGAACUUUUUUGCUGUUUUCUUGGUCAUUUAUGAAAAAUUGAAAAAAUCGGCUAAAAAUGGACGAAAAGUAAAGGCCUUACUUUUUUGCUGUUUUUUGGUCAUUUAUGAAAAAUGGAAAAGUCGUUAAAAAUGGACGAAAAGUAAAAGCUAUGGCCUUACUUUUUUGCUGUUUUUUGCCUCUUUUUCAAAAAUUGAAAAAUCGGCUAAAAAUGGACGAAAAGUAAACGCUGUAGCCUUGUUUUUUUUUCUGUUUUUUUUCCCUUUUUCAAAAAUUGAAAAAUCGGCUAAAAAUGGACGAAAAUUAAGAGUAUAUAGCGUUACUUUUUUGCUCUAUUCUGCCUGCUGUUUAUGACAAAUGAAAAAAGUCGCUAAAAUCGACGAAAAGUAAAAACUAUAGGCUGGAGUGUUUUGACAUGUAUUUUGAAAUUAUUUUUGGUUCAUUUCACUUAUCUUAAAUUUUUCGACUCCAUUUCGCAUAUUAUUGUCCGUUCGUAUUU
This is a non-coding RNA of Paramuricea clavata, 548 nucleotides long. NCBI's taxonomy places the organism in Eukaryota, Metazoa, Cnidaria, Anthozoa, Malacalcyonacea, Plexauridae. The record is from the annotation of a GenBank genome assembly.